UGCAAAUUGAACAAAAAAUGUGCGCUAUCUCUUUGGCAUUUUGUUUUUAGUUUUUCACUUGUGUACACAAUGCAAAACAUUUUGCAUAAGUCUGGUUUCAGAAUAGGUGGCAUUGGGAAAGAAGCAUGUUGCGAUAUCACCUUCACAUGUAUGCAAGUAUUCUAUCCGCCAGAAGAGAUCAUGCAUGUACCUCGUGGUGGCGUGCAAAGCCGGAGUGUUACAUUGAAGAACAGCGGUAUCUAGUGCAUCUUGUCCACUGCAAACAAUGGUAUCUGGUACUCCGCGAGGUAGAAUAGGUCGUGAAUCAGCAUGACCAAGGUGACGUCCUCCAGUUGGCUCACAGUUGCAGCGCUG
RNAcentral lists this long non-coding RNA (354 nucleotides) under Oryza brachyantha (malo sina). RNAcentral's name for it is "long non-coding RNA (OBRA_LNC002289)". The record is from RNAcentral. Lineage: Eukaryota; Viridiplantae; Streptophyta; Magnoliopsida; Poales; Poaceae.